CGCGGCCUAUCAGCUUGUUGGUGAGGUAGUGGCUCACCAAGGCGACGACGGGUAGCCGGCCUGAGAGGGCGACCGGCCACACUGGGACUGAGACACGGCCCAGACUCCUACGGGAGGCAGCAGUAGGGAAUAUUGCACAAUGGGCGAAAGCCUGAUGCAGCAACGCCGCGUGCGGGAAGAAGGCCCUAGGGUUGUAAACCGCUUUCAGCAGGGAAGAAAAUGACGGUACCUGCAGAAGAAGGUGCGGCCAACUACGUGCCAGCAGCCGCGGUGACACGUAGGCACCAAGCGUUGUCCGGAUUUAUUGGGCGUAAAGAGCUCGUAGGCGGUUCAGUAAGUCGGGUGUGAAAACUCUGGGCUCAACCCAGAGACGCCACUCGAUACUGCUGUGACUAGAGUGCGGUAGGGGAGCGGGGAAUUCCUAGUGUAGCGGUGAAAUGCGCAGAUAUUAGGAGGAACACCAGUGGCGAAGGCGCCGCUCUGGGCCGUAACUGACGCUGAGGAGCGAAAGCGUGGGUAGCAAACAGGAUUAGAUACCCUGGUAGUCCACGCCGUAAACGUUGGGCACUAGGUGUGGGUCUCAACCAACGAGAUCCGCGCCGUCGCUAACGCAUUAAGUGCCCCGCCUGGGGAGUACGG
This 639-nucleotide ribosomal RNA is filed under the name uncultured Actinomycetes bacterium. RNAcentral describes it as "bacterial SSU rRNA". It matches the Rfam family "Bacterial small subunit ribosomal RNA", at positions 232 to 885 of the family's 1533-position model. Lineage: Bacteria; Bacillati; Actinomycetota; Actinomycetes. The record is from RNAcentral.